AGAGUUUGAUCCUGGCUCAGGAUGAACGCUGGCGGCGUGCCUAAUGCAUGCAAGUCGCACGCUCUGCUUCGGGCGGGAGUGGCGAACGGCUGAGGAACACGUAUGGACCUGCUCCGGUGUGGGGGACAACACGGCGAAAGCCGUGCUAAUCCCGCAUACGCUACUCACGUGAGNNAAGCCGCAAGGCGCACCGGAAGGGACGUGCGGCCCAUCAGGUAGUUGGUGAGGUAACGGCCCACCAAGCCCGUGACGGGUAGCUGGUCUGAGAGGACGACCAGCCAGACUGGGACUGUGACACGGCCCAGACUCCUACGGGAGGCAGCAGCAAGGAAUUUUCGGCAAUGGGCGCAAGCCUGACCGAGCAACGCCGCGUGGAGGAUGACGGCCUUCGGGUUGUAAACUCCUUUUGGGUGGGACGACAUCGACGGUACCACCCGAAUAAGCCCCGGCUAACUCUGUGCCAGCAGCCGCGGUAAUACAGAGGGGGCAAGCGUUAUCCGGAUUUACUGGGCGUAAAGCGUAUGUAGGUGGUUGGCUAGGUGGGGUGUGACAUCUCCAGGCUUAACCUGGAGCCGCCGCUCCAAACCGUCCAACUCGAGCCGUGCAGAGGUCGGUGGAAUUGCCGGUGUAGUGGUGAAAUGCGUAGAGAUCGGCAGGAACACCAAGGGCGUAAGCAGCCGACUGGGCACGUGCUGACACUGAGGUACGACAGCGUGGGGAGCGAACAGGAUUAGAUACCCUAGUAGUCC
This 749-nucleotide ribosomal RNA is filed under the name uncultured bacterium. RNAcentral describes it as "bacterial SSU rRNA". It matches the Rfam family "Bacterial small subunit ribosomal RNA", at positions 8 to 796 of the family's 1533-position model. The record is from RNAcentral.